This 116-nucleotide ribosomal RNA is filed under the name uncultured bacterium. RNAcentral describes it as "partial 16S ribosomal RNA". It matches the Rfam family "Bacterial small subunit ribosomal RNA", at positions 1369 to 1482 of the family's 1533-position model. The record is from RNAcentral.
CGUUCCCGGGCCUUGUACACACCGCCCGUCACACCACGAAAGUCUGUUGUACCCGAAGUAGGCGGGCUAACCCGCAAGGGAGGCAGUCUCCUAAGGUAUGGCCGGUAAUUGGGGUG